This 1326-nucleotide ribosomal RNA is filed under the name uncultured bacterium. RNAcentral's name for it is "bacterial SSU rRNA". It matches the Rfam family "Bacterial small subunit ribosomal RNA", at positions 28 to 1381 of the family's 1533-position model. The record is from RNAcentral.
GACGAACGCUAGCGGCGUGCCUUAGGCAUGCAAGUAGAGCGGGGUGUAGCAAUACACCGAGCUGCGAACGGCUGAGUAACACGUAAGAAUCUACCCUUUGGCGGAGAAUACCUUACCGAAAGGUAAGUUAAUACACCAUAAGACCGAGAGGUGAAAGGGCUUAACCGCCCACCGAAGGAGGAGCUUGCGACCUAUCAGUUAGUUGGUGGGGUAAUGGCCUACCAAGACAGCGACGGGUAGGGGGCGUGAGAGCGUGAUCCCCCAGAACGGGACUGAGACACGGCCCGUACACCUACGAGUGGCAGCAACUAGGAAUCGUGCGCAAUGGACGAAAGUCUGACGCCGCGACGCUGCGUGAAGGAUUAAGGCGUAUAUCGUUGUAAACUUCUUUUGACCUGCGGGACACCAAAGGUAGAAUAAGCACCGGCUAACUCUGUGCCAGCAGCAGCGGUGAUACAGAGGGUGCAAGCGUUGUCCGGAUUUAUUGGGCGUAAAGAGUUCGUAGGCUUUUUCUUAAGUCAUCUUUCAAAGACUUCGGCUCAACCGAGGAAAGGGGGGUGAUACUGGGAAAAUUGAAAAGUUUCGGGGCUACUGGAACUUACGGUGUAGGAGUGAAAUCCGUUGAUAUCGUAAGGAACACCGAGGGCGAAGGCGGGUAGCUAGGAACAUUUUGACGCUGAGGAACGACAGCUAGGGGAGCGAAAGGGAUUAGAGACCCCUGUAGUCCUAGCCGUAAACGAUGCUCGCUAGGGAUAGGUCUCGCAAAGAUCAUGAUUUUUGUUCGUGGUUUUUGUGAGAUCUGUUCCGUAAGCUAACGCGUGAAGCGAGCCGCCUGGGGAGUACGAGCGCAAGCUUAAAACUCAAAGGAAUUGACGGGGACCCGCACAACCAGUGGAGCAUGUGGUUUAAUUCGAGACGGACCGAAGAACCUUACCGGGGUUUGACGUGUUAGUUGCACGUCGCCAGAAACGGCGAUUUCUUCGAGAGUACUAACACAGGUGUUGCAUGGCUGUCGUCAGCUCGUGUCGUGGGAUGUUCCCUUCAGUGGGGUAACGAGCGCAACCCUUGUCCUAUGUUAAAUAUUCAUAGGAGACUACCCAAUUUAUUUGGGAGGAAGUGGGGACGAUGUCAAGUCAGCAUGGCCCUUAUGUCCCGGGCGACACGCAUGCUACAAUGGCGCAAACAAAGGGUUGCCAAGCGGUAACGCGGAGCUAAUCCCAAAAAUUGCGUCUCAGUGGGGAUUGGGGGCUGAAACUCGCCCUCAUGAACGCGGAAUUGGUAGUAAUCGCGAAUCAGCCAAGUCGCGGUGAAUACGUUCUCGGGUCU